This 300-nucleotide signal recognition particle RNA is filed under the name Schistosoma mansoni. RNAcentral's name for it is "Metazoan signal recognition particle RNA". It matches the Rfam family "Metazoan signal recognition particle RNA". From Rfam's summary of the family: The signal recognition particle (SRP) is a universally conserved ribonucleoprotein. Lineage: Eukaryota; Metazoa; Platyhelminthes; Trematoda; Strigeidida; Schistosomatidae. The record is from Rfam by way of RNAcentral.
GCUGGGCGUGGUGGCGUGCGCCUGUAAUCUAGCUACUUGGAGGCCAGGGUGCGGGAUUUCGUGGGACCGGGAGUUCUGGCAUAUGGGUGCUCAUGUUGAUCGGGCGUCCACGCUAAGCACGGCGCCGAUAUGGAUGAGCUGUCGGAGGACGGGUUGUGUGGGAUCCUCUAGAGUCGACCUGCAGGCAUGCAAGCUUGAGUAUUCUAUAGUCAAAAGUCCCCGCGUGGUGCGGUAGCGGGAUAGCGCCUGUGAAUGGUGUCCAUGUGACAGCCCGGUUGGCGCGUGAAGACCGCCUCCUUU